GACGAACGCUGGCGGCGUGCCUAAUACAUGCAAGUCGAACGCAGUGGGUACGGGUGAGUAACACGUGGGUAACCUCCCAUCAGCGGGGAUAACACUUGGAAACAGGUGCUAAACCGAUACUGAUGGUUGGACCCGCGGUGCAUUAGCUAGUUGGUGAGGAAACGGCUCACAAAGGCCCGGAUGCAUAGCGAACCGGGGAGGGGAAUGGGCCACAUGGGGACGGGAAAACGGCCCAAACGCCUACGGGAGGCGGCAGUAGGAAAUCUUCCGCAAGGGGCGAAAGCCGGACGGAGAAACGCCGCGUGAGUGAAGAAGGUUUUCGGAUCGUAAAGCUCUGUUGUAAGGGAAGCGGUAACUUACCAGAAAGCCACGGCUAACUACGUGCCAGCAGCCGCGGUAAUAC
Molecule: ribosomal RNA, 403 nt
Filed under: uncultured bacterium
Lineage: Bacteria
Description: partial 16S ribosomal RNA
Rfam family: Bacterial small subunit ribosomal RNA
Source: RNAcentral